GCUGGGGCUCAGUGGUAGAGCGCUUGCCUCUCAUGUGUGAGGCCCUGGGUUCGGUUCUCAGCACUGCG
This 68-nucleotide transfer RNA is filed under the name Marmota monax (woodchuck). RNAcentral's name for it is "tRNA.Glu". Lineage: Eukaryota; Metazoa; Chordata; Mammalia; Rodentia; Sciuridae. The record is from RNAcentral.